GUUGCGUUCGCAUAGAGUAAAGUGGACCUGAGGUAUUGGAUUGGAAAUUGUUCAUCCGCGAACGUGGAGUUUGGUCUAUGAUCACAUAGUAUAAGUUGGAAGAGCAUUGUGUUCUCAUGGGGUACGCCGCAUUCACAUAGAGUUAAUUCUAAGUGCUGAACAUUUGUUCUUCGCAAUCGUGAAAGUCUUCUCGUGAUCACAUAGAGGAAAAAUAUGCAUGGGCAAAGUGUUUUAAUGUCAUCUUGUAUGCGAAUCUGGGUCUAUCUUCACCCAUGGCUGCCCGUUUUUGGAGGUUUUUGAAGGAAAUUAAAGAGGAAUCGACUUGAGGUAAGAAUCUUUGUCUUAAAACUCGAUUAUAUUGUGAAAUCCACUUAGAAAUUCAUGGAAACUAAGCCUAAAGUUGAAGAACUAGGGCUUGAGAAAUUGGACUUUUGAAUUGGGAUUUGAGGUACCAUAUGAGGUCGGAUUUAAGAACUUUUGAUAUAUAUGAACUCAUGGGAAGAUGAGAAAUCUAAUGAUGUGAAAAUUUCUGAGUUUCGAGAAGUGGGCCCGGGACUCAGAUUUUGGUAAUUUCAGUAUUUAUGACUGUUAUUGAUUGUCUUCGCGUGGGUUUUAUUUCCUAAGCAUAUUGUGAUGUAUUCGCUCUGAUUUUGGAUAGAAUCGACGCGCGUGGAAGCUGACUUGAGGGGCAAAGGCGUCGCGAGCUAGAGAUUUCGGCGAUUCAAGGUGAGUAAUGAUUGUAAAUGAUGUUAUGAGGGUAUGAAACCCCGGAUUGCACAUCGUAGUGGUAUAUUAAAGUGACUUGCACGCCGGAUAGCAAGCGUGGGGUAGAGCACUAUUGGGGAUUUCGACUUGGUCCGUCCCGAUUGAUGAUUUUACUGUGUAUUUGAUUGAAACUUAUUUGUUAUCAUCAUGAUUUGGGCUGAUCGCUAUAUUUGGGCUUCGUGCUAGUUAUUUGAACCCCUUCUUUGAUAUUUCCCCACUGUUUUGAUUUUACACUUGAACUCAGUUGUGUAUUUUCCACUGUUUUCAAAAUUCAGCCUUUGGGCUGAUUGCCAUAUUUGGGCUUCACACCAACUAUUUGAACCCUUUCGGGGAUGAUUGUUGAUAUUUCCUCACUGUUUUGAUUUUAUACUUGAACUCAGUCAUGUAUUUUCUUCUGUUUUCAAACUCAGCAGAGUUUACUUUGCUUUAACACUUGAACUGAUAGUUCCAACAAUAUUUUUGGGUUGAGCAUCAUGUUUUACUGUUGUCACCAAGUUUACUUUGCUUUUACACUUGAAAUGAUAUUUCUAACAAUAUUUUGGGCUGAGCGUCAUGUUUUACUGUUGCCUGAGGGGCUUAUGUGAUUUUUGACUGAAUAAGGCCGAGGGCCUGUGUUGUAGGAUACUUUUGGAUCGGGCUGCAUGCCACAGCAGUGAGAUAGUGAUACUGAUAUGAGGCCGAGGGCGUAGAUUGGAUGCCACGGAUGGCUUGAUAUUGCGCUUGGGCUGUAAGGGGCACUUUUAGAGUCUGCAAACCCCCAGUGAGCGCCGUCGAUGAUGAAUGGAUCGGGUUGCACGGUGCAGCGGUACCGGUACUUUUUUAUAUGUAUACUUAUUUUAUUUGUCUGCCAUUAUCUGUUGUUGUGCUAUUUCAUGUGAUAUCCACCUGAUUGCCUUGCAUUUUCUGCUGAGUGAGUGUUGCGUCCGAGGGGCGGAUUUCUGCGCUUACUAGCACAAAUUGUUUGUAUUCAUUUUCAUAAUGGUUUGAAAAGGGUCCUUUUCAAAAGAAGUUUAAAUUGGGUUAAGACGUUUUCUAAAGAUUUCACAGCUUCAUUGCUUUUCUAAAGGGGUUUUAUACUACUUCUAUACAACAUGAUGAUUUGCCUAACUUGAUUGCCUACUGCUUGGCUAUUAUUUACCUUUUUUAUCCACUGAGUUAUAGUACUUACUUUAAUCCCUACAAAUUGCGUGCAGAUGCGAGUAUACGUUCCCCAGCUAGUGGGUCUUGAGCUGAUUGGCGGCUAAGUUAUUGGAGUUAAGCAAGG
RNAcentral lists this long non-coding RNA (2029 nucleotides) under Nicotiana benthamiana. RNAcentral's name for it is "long non-coding RNA (NBEN_LNC029643)". The record is from RNAcentral. Lineage: Eukaryota; Viridiplantae; Streptophyta; Magnoliopsida; Solanales; Solanaceae.